Long non-coding RNA from Scatophagus argus, 1847 nucleotides. RefSeq lists it as uncharacterized. The transcript is spliced from 7 exons. The record is from RefSeq and is a predicted model, not a curated record. NCBI's taxonomy places the organism in Eukaryota, Metazoa, Chordata, Actinopteri, Scatophagidae.
GUAAACUCUUCUACAGUCAAUACGCCGCGCGGAGCUCAGGCCUCUCGCUGCUUUGGUGGUUUACGGUAGAACAACCGAUCCAAGAUGGCGGCCGCAUUUCUCGUGCCACAGCAGCAAAUGCGGAGCCUCCUCUUUAUGAUGUCUGUGAAUGAAUUCGCUGGAGACUGAAACCUGUCCACAGUGCAGAGCCGUCUGCACUCGGUGUGUCUGGCGCUGCAGCUGUACCUGGUGCAGGCAGGUCCAGCUUCGCCCUCCUGAGCUCCGUCAUGGACGCCUGUAGCUGCUCGAUCACAAAGUCGUCCUCGAAGAAGAAAUUUUUGGACAAGGUCUCCUGCAGAAACUCCACCAGCUCUUCCAUGGACAGCUUCAUCAGUGUAGGACAUGGCGGGCAGCAGCCGUUCACCCUCUAAGAUGUAGAUGUCCCAGAUCCUGAGGGUGAGGGUGAAGGGAGUCUGCACACAAGCAGAACAGAAGGUCAGAGGAUCAUUUUAUUGUUCUCCCUGUGGACUUCUGUGGGCUCACAGUGACCACAGAGGACAUGAUCCCACAGCCUGUCUGUGGCUCUGAGACCGAGCCCACUGCUUCUUACGGAAUGACAAGAGUAACUCACAAAAAUACAGUUGACAAAUAUAAAUACAUAGAUAUUUUAAAUGAAGGCUCUGUAUUUUCCUUUCCCAGCCGGGCUGACGGUAGGAAACACAGAACAUUGGACUCAUCCUUUAAAAGCCUGACACUCUGAAGUCGUUUUCCUCACGACUGCAGCCAGACAACAAGCUUUCACUUGGUGAACGACUGACCUGCGGACAUGGUUGUUCUGUGGGGGUGUUAAUGCACUCACUCUGUCCAGGAAGCACUGGAAGAACCACUUCAUGGUGUACAGGCUGGUGAACACCUCCUGGCUGUCCUGCAGCAGCACAAACCAACCCAACAGAAAAUCAGUUCAGGCGCUGCUGAGUGUGUGACAACAUGUCAGCAAUCAGUGAGGACUGAAUGACUUAAAUGUCCAGGGAGUAACACCAGUAGGUUCACCACAGAAUCACGACCCCUUCAGGUGUUGUUUCAGUUUGGGCAUCGUCUUCUUGAGGAUUCGGUCGUGAUGAUCCUGGAAGCGCAUCAGCUUCGGGAAGCCGGGGACAAAAAACCCUGAAGGUGAGGACACAAGGACUCAGAUAGUGUUUGGUGUGAGCUGCAGAGUUUUGGAGAUAUCUGCUGUACAGACGUCUGCCUUCUCUUCAAUAUAAUGGAACGAGAUGACGCUUCACUUGUGGUGCUCAAAGUGCCAAAAACUAAAAGUCUCUUUCCGGAAAUCAUGACCCGCUUACUUCCUUCAGCGAGAGCUCCGCCCACUGAGGACCUGCGGGAAAGCACAGGCGCCGACAGUGGAAGCAGAGUAACCUCUACGGUUUUGUGAGGCGAGUGAAUCGCUCACCGUGUUGUACAUGGAGUAGGCUGUGAGGACGUGGAAGAGAGCCUGCUGCCUGCGAACACAAAAACACAAAUCACCACAAGAAACCCUGCAAGCGACCCGGCGAGCAGAGCUGGGACCUUCCUCCUGACCUGACGGGUAAAACCCACAAGUACAGCGAGGAAGCUUCACAUCGUCAGCACAUCAGCUUCUCAGGGUUACGAUAAAGAAACAUGACUUAACAAGCUGUGGUUAAACUUCAUCACAGACUUCUGUCAAAUCUACGCAACCAAGCAGAAGUUCAAACGGAGAAAAGGGGACGUGAGCCGUCUCACUUCCAUGUUGGGACACUUUGGGGGUUCAAACUGAGUGAGUGACCAGGUAGAUUCUGUUAUUUAUACUUUCUACAUGGCAUUAAUUUAAAAAUGCAUCUCGCUGCAGU